RNA transcript from Cyprinus carpio (common carp), 3518 nucleotides. It is a transcript of the gene named neurexophilin-1-like, with no coding region annotated. The transcript is spliced from 3 exons. NCBI's taxonomy places the organism in Eukaryota, Metazoa, Chordata, Actinopteri, Cypriniformes, Cyprinidae. The record is from RefSeq and is a predicted model, not a curated record.
UGCUUAAGACAAAGCCAAAACAAAGAAAAGGGACUGAAAGAAACUCAGUUUGUACACCGGCUGUCCAACUACCACGCUCCACUCGCCCCACCAUACUUGCGCAUGCGCACAGAGAGAGAGAGAAAAGUGAGGGAAAGAGUGCAAAAGGAAGAUUGGGGGCUCUGGCGAGGGAGAGAGAAAGAGAGAGGGGGGUUUAAAACGUCAGCGCGUGUAGGAGCCCUGCUGCCAGUCUGCAUGUACUGAUAUGUGCGACGUUCGAGGAGUUUGCGCUCCGGUCAGGCUCGCGCACUGGGAUCCUAACUGUCACCAGCACAUAAAAGCGCGGAUAACGGUGAUGAUUCCCCUCACACAGCAACACGACAAGGAGCUAAGUGUACGCAGAUGGCAGCGAAGAAGUGUGCUGUCAGUUUCCAGACACCUUUGGAUGUGACGGGCUCCAAGCAGUGGAGCUUACCGUGACAGACAGCAGGUGGGAUUCCACUAAGAGGAGAGCUCGCGCUUGACUUUAUGUUGGACAUGGGAACGGGUCUCGACUGUUUUGGAUACGGUACCGGAGGAACCGAAUCUUCUUGAACGGAGAGCUGUCGACAGAUCAGGACAUCGACGAGAUGCGCUCCGACCACGGCUUCAUCCUGCUGCUCCUCAACGGGACAGCGUGCUUGCUGGCUCUAGGACAGGAAGAUACCCACUCAUUAUCUUCUUCCUUCCCCUCGUCUACGUCUAAGUCCUCCUCCUCAGCAGACUCCUCAAAAACUCUGGGGGUUCUGGGAUCUCAGGGUUCGAUUUCACCCCUGAGUCGCUGGGUAAUGCACAGCCGUGGCCGUGCUGCCAACACUUCCACAAUGGAGCUGCCCUAUCGAUCGCCAGUGCCCUUCUCCAAACAGGAAUUUUGGGAAAUGCUGGGCAGUGAUCUCCUCAAAUCAGACACGGAUGCAUCAGGGAACUCACGUGUCAAGCGCCGUCCACCAAUCGUCAAAACAGGCAAAUUUAAGAAGAUGUUCGGCUGGGGUGACUUCUACUCCAACAUCAAGACGGUGCGCCUCAACCUGCUUAUCACGGGUAAGAUAGUGGAUCACGGGAAUGGCACCUUCAGCGUCUACUUCCGUCACAAUUCCACCGGUCAGGGGAACAUCUCAGUGAGCUUGGUACCUCCAGUGAAGGCAGUGGAGUUCGACUUGGAGCGCCAAAGCGUGGUCUAUCCUAAAGACUCGAAGAUCUUCAACUGCCGCGUAGACUACGAGAAGGUGGACCGUAGCAAACGCACCUCACUCUGCAACUAUGACCCCUCCAAGACCUGCUUCCAGGAGCAGACACAAAGCCAUGUGUCCUGGAUCUGUUCCAAACCCUUUAAGGUCAUUUGUAUCUACAUUUCAUUCUACAGCACAGACUACCGACUGGUGCAGAAGGUCUGCCCAGACUAUAAUUACCACAACGAGUUGCCCUACCUACCCUCAGGCUAGAGCUUUGUGAAGCAAUGGACUGGGGCAAGGAGGACUGGUUGGGUAGGAAUUGGUAUACAAAGGAACAGUUAUAUUAUGGAUGUGAAGAUGAAUGUGCAAUGCUGAUUUGGGAGGGCUUUUUUAAAGGACACUGAAGUCCUUAUCUAAAGACUCUUCAGAAACUUAUCAUUGAGCUGAUAUGGAACACCCCCUCAUGACCUGAACAUCAAAGGUGGUUCUCUAAAAGGUAAUGGUAGCACUUUGAAUGCUACUUACCCACAAAGCUGGCUGCAAAUCUGUUUAUACAAAUACACAACGCAGUCCCCUACAGGAACAGAUACCAUUAUAUCCUGGGAAAAUAUCUCCAAAACAACUCAGAAUCUCCCUCUGACUGCAGAAGAGGGAUAAGGAGACUACACUGUCACGCACUGCUGGGCGUUGCCAAGGCAAGGAUAAAAGUUGAAGUGGAAGAACUCUUCAGUUGUCAUAGCGACAGGCUCUUUGGCUGGCCUGUCGGGCUUGGAUGGAGCAUCGGACACCUGGUCAAUCCGUAGAACCAGAACUGAGCUAGCGGCCUCUAUAAGCAACAAAUUGUACAAUGAAAUGUGGUACAACAUGUACUGAACAGACAUAUACUGCACAUAAAUAUAUAAAUAAAUGAAUAUUUAUAAAUAUAUAUAUAUAUGAAAAUAUAUAUAUGAACACAGAUAUAUACAAUAAUCCAACUCCCUGGAACUGGAUGAAGCUGUAUUACAUGUCAGACAUACAGUGGACUUUUCUCUGGUUCAUUUGAGGUUUACUGUUUAUUUCUAUAUUUUUACAUUGUUUAUUUUACGUGUGUGUUAUGUUGAUAUAGUGUAUGGAUGACAAUGGUGGCAUUUAUUGUGGUUUUCUGACAUCUGACAAAAAAAAUAAAAGAAUAAAUUAGAGGAAAAGCACUGAGUUUGGCUCCCGAGCUCAGAGGGCUAAAGUGACUGUCGUCUCAGGUCUCGUCUUGUUUUGACUGCUGAUUGACAGAGGGGAUGACAUGUGCAUGACAUGAAAGUCCAUGUUAUUGCUCUAUUUGCAUAUGUGUAUUCAGUGCCUAUGGCAAGAAGCGGGGAAAACAGGAGGCAAUAGUCCACAGGGACACGGAGAAAGAGAUGGAAUGAGAGAGAGAGAUGACAGAAUUACUGAAACAGUGGAACUAUACAAUAAAUUGCACUUGAACAGUGUCACCGUGAACCCAAAACAUCUACUGCUACAAAGUUUCUUUUAAUUUCUUUUCGUUCUUAGACAUAAUUCGCAUCAAAUAUGUCCAGGAUCACAAUUAAACCUGACAUUCCAGAGCAUGAAAAUUAGCUUGAAUAAUAUUGUUGUAAGGCAGAUUGAUUACAUCGUUGUAUUUAACAGCAACUUCAGCUACCCCCUCUGUUCUUUUUGUCUUUAUAUAUAUAGUUUUAUGUCCCUAAACACCCUCCACUCUCUCGUUUUUCUCAUUCUUUUCUCUCAUCUCCCAAUCCGGCCUCUUCCACAGCGUGCCUAAGGAUAACCUUGGAGAGAGUGAUGAAACCGCUCUAAAUUGGGCUGUGUGCUCCCGCUCAACCCAAAGUUAAUAACAUAAUUCAAAACAAACCAGCAGUGACUUCCCACAGCACAUCACACAGCAAGCAAGAACAGAACAGAUAGAAAAAAAGCAUGAAGAAAGACGGAUAAAAAAAGUGAAAGAUAAGUGGAGAUAAACAAGUUUAAGUGGUAAGGAGUAAAACAAAUACAGGAGGUGAACAAAGAAAGACAGUGGGCUAUUGAACAUAAUUUAAAUAUUUCAUCAGUAAAUAAUCAAUAAAUAACAGAAUAUCAGACUGCUACUUUGGGUUAUUGCCUUUGCAUAAGCCAGCAGUUUUAGGACAAGGCCUACGAUCAUUAAAUUAAUCUGCAUUCAAUCUGAUGAUAAGAGAGCAACUGUAUGAAUGAGCAGCCUUCAGAAACUGAAUUUGAUGUAAUACAAUUUUGUUUCUGGUCACUUCCAAUUCUUUACAGACAUCAUUCAUAAACAUUUAUUGAAGAAACUUAAUCAAUAAGCUGUUAUUAAAAUACAAU